RNAcentral lists this long non-coding RNA (1462 nucleotides) under Lathyrus oleraceus (garden pea). RNAcentral describes it as "Pisum sativum (pea) long non-coding RNA (PSAT_LNC041677)". Lineage: Eukaryota; Viridiplantae; Streptophyta; Magnoliopsida; Fabales; Fabaceae. The record is from RNAcentral.
UCAAAUUUCAUGGGUUCAACAGCAAAUUUUUCAUCAUUCCCACAAUUCAAGGGAAUUUCAUGGAUUUAACAACAACAUUUUCAUCAUUCCCAAACUUUUAUCAAAUUUCAUGGGUUUAACAACAAAAUUUUCAUCAUUUCCACAAAUCAAUCAAUUUUCACGGGUUUAAUAGCACUAUUUUCAUCAUUUACACAAUUAAAUAUAUUUCAUGGGUUCAACAACAAAAUUUUUCAUCAUUCCCAUAAUUCAUUCAAAUUUCAUGGGUUAAACAGCAGCAUUUUCAUCAUUCACACAAUUCAAUCAAAUUUCAAGGUUUAACAACAAAAUCUUCAUCAUUCACACAAUUCAAUCAAAUUUCAUGGGUUUAACAACAAAAUCUUCAUCAUUUACACAAUUCAAUCAAAUUUCAUGGGUUUAACAACAAAAUCUUCAUCAUUCACACAAUUCAAUCAAAUUGCAUGGGUUUAACGUCAACAUUUUCAUCAUUCCCACAAUUCAAUCAAAUUCCAUGGGUUUAANUCAAUCAAAUUUCAUGGGUUUAACAACAAAAUCUUCAUCAUUCACACAUAUCAAUCAAAUUUCAUGGGUUUAACAACAAAAUCUUCAUCAUUCACACAAUUCAAUCAAAUUUCAUUGGUUUAACAACAAAAUCUUCAUCAUUCACACAAUUCAAUCAAAUUGCAUGGGUUUAACGUCAACAUUUUCAUCAUUCCCACAAUUCAAUCAAAUUCCAUGGGUUUAAUAGCAGUGUUUUCAUCAUUCAUUCAAUUCAAUCAAAUUUUAUGGUUUUAAGAGCAACAUUUUCAUCAAUUCCACAAUUCAAUCAAAUUCCAUGAGUUUAACAACAACAUAUUCAUUAUUCACACAAUUGAAUAAAAUUUCAUGGUUUUAAUAGCAAAAUAUUCAUCAUUCCCACAAUUCAAUCAAAUUUCAUGGGUUUAACAUCAACAAUUUCAUCAUGUGCACAUUUUAACCAAUUUUCAUGAGUUUAACAACAACAAUUUCAUCAUUUUCACAAUUCAAUCAACUUUCAUAGGUUUAACAACAACAUUUUCAUCAUUCACACAAUUCAAUCAAAUUUCAUGGGUUUAACAACAACAUUUUCAUAAUUAACACAAUUCAUUCAAUUUUCAUCGAUUUAAUAGCAAUUUUUUCAUCAUUCACACAAUUCAAUCAAAUUUCAUGUGUUUAAUAACAACAUUUUCAUCAUUCCCACAAAUCAAUCAAAUUCCAUGGGUUUAAAAGCAACGUUUUCAUCAUUCACUCAAUUCAAUCAAAUUUUAUGGUUUUAAGAGCAACAAUUUCAUCAUUCCCACAAUUCAAUCAAAUUUCAUGGGUUUAACAACAACAUUUUCAUCAUUCCCAUAAUUCAUUCAAAUUUCAUGGGUUAAACAGCAUCAUUUUCAUCAUUCACACAAUUCAAUCAAAUUUCAAGGGUUUAGCAACAAAAUCUUCAUCAUUC